This 328-nucleotide ribosomal RNA is filed under the name uncultured eukaryote. Its description in RNAcentral is "partial 18S ribosomal RNA". It matches the Rfam family "Eukaryotic small subunit ribosomal RNA", at positions 1470 to 1796 of the family's 1831-position model. The record is from RNAcentral.
CCCUUAGAUGUUCUGGGCCGCACGCGUGCUACACUGAGUGGAUCAGCGGGUCAGGUUGCGCGAAAGUGUUUCCUAAUCUUUAAAUCCGCUCGUGAUGGGGAUUGACGGUUGCAAUUUUCCGUCAUGAACGAGGAAUACCUUGUAAGCGCGGGUCAUCAUCCCGCGCUGAAUACGUCCCUGCCCUUUGUACACACCGCCCGUCGCUACUACCGAUUGGAUGGCUUAGUGAGACCCUCGGACCGAUAGGCUGUCGCCGCGGCAACGUGGCGACCGGCCCGUCGGGAAGAAGGUCAAACUUGACUGUCUAGAGGAAGUAAAAGUCGUAACA